GCCAGCAGUCAUAUCACUCUGCAGCUCACAACUACAGCCCACUGAAGCUCAGCAGGUGUGAGCCUAGUCAGUACCUGGAUGGGAGACUCCUGGGAAAAACUAAGGUUGCUGCUGGAA
This 117-nucleotide ribosomal RNA is filed under the name Lepisosteus oculatus (spotted gar). Lineage: Eukaryota; Metazoa; Chordata; Actinopteri; Semionotiformes; Lepisosteidae. The record is from RNAcentral.